Molecule: long non-coding RNA, 1218 nt
Filed under: Homo sapiens (human)
Lineage: Eukaryota; Metazoa; Chordata; Mammalia; Primates; Hominidae
Description: HSALNT0282741
Source: RNAcentral
GUCAGCGGGUUGCGGAGGAUCGUGCGGGUCGCAAAGGGAAGCCGAGUGCUCCUGCGGCUCCCAGACUGCAACCAGGAUGAAUAUAUUUACAGGUGUAAAUCCAAACCGCUUCCAACUCAAGGCAAGUAACAGCCCACGGUGUUCUGGCAGGAAAACAUCAGCUAAGAAAGGAAACUGGGUCCUAUGGCUUGGACUUUCCAACUCUGACAGACCGGCAGGACAGAAACAACUGGUUCAGGAGCCCUUGCCAGCCUCUAGAGAAAUCCCAGAACACUCAGCCCUGAUGACACAUUAAUACCCUGCACAUAUUGGAGACUGCUGACCACGCAUACUCACCAAGCCACAGACUUGUCUUCCACAAGCACGUUCUUACCUCAGCCACAAAGUGCCCAAGCCACAUGUACUAAAGGUUGAAAUCAGAGACAUGUACAGGGUAUUAAACAGAUACCAAGGGGAACAGUUAACUUGAAUAUAGCUUGAAUAGAAAGUCAAAAUCAGCAACAAGUCUACAAUCCAGUGCUGAUAUCAGAUACAAGCUUCAAGGACAACUUUCUGUGUAUGUUUUUUUUUUUUUUUUUGAGACGUAGUCUCGCCCUGUUGCCCAGGCUGGAGUGCAGUGGUGCAAUCUCGGCUCACCACAACCUCUGCCUCCCAGGUUCAAGUGAUUCUCCUGCCUCAGCCUCCCCAGUAGCUGGGAUUAUAGGCGAAUGCCACCAUGCCUGGCUAAUUUUUGUAUUUUUAGUAGAGACGGGGUUUCAGCAUGUUGGCCAGGCCGGUCUCAAACUCCUGACCUUGUGAUCCACCCGUCUCGGCCUCCCAAAGUGCUGGGAUUAUAGGCGUGAGCCACCACUUCUGGCCACAAAUUUCUUUUUGAAGGCUUAUUCCAGUUUUGUGAGGCUAGCAUGAGGUGUAUGCAUUUGCCAGGGGCAAAUUUAUACUGCUGAAUUAACCCAUGCAACAAAUGCUGCACAUCUGCUCGCAGUCCAUUUAGAGGCAUUUGCGGUAGACAAUGGAGGGGCCAGACUCAUCAUACAUACCUGAUGGCUAACCCACAUGCUUGCAGUCCAUUUAGAGGCAUUUGCAGUGGAUGAUGGAGGGGCCACAUACCUAAUUGCUAAUCCACAUCUGCUGGAAGGUGGACAGUGAGGCCAGGAUGGAACCACCAAUCCACACCGAGUACUUGUGCUCUGGGGGCAUGAUGAACUUGAUCUUCAUGGU